AACGAACGCUGGCGGCAGGCUUAACACAUGCAAGUCGAACGCAUCCUUUGGGGUGAGUGGCAGACGGGUGAGUAACGCGUGGGAACGUGCCCUUCAGUUCGGGAUAACCCAGGGAAACUUGGGCUAAUACCGGAUACGUGCGAGAGCAGAAAGAUUUAUCGCUGAAGGAUCGGCCCGCGUCUGAUUAGCUAGUUGGUGGGGUAAUGGCCCACCAAGGCGACGAUCAGUAGCUGGUCUGAGAGGAUGAUCAGCCACAUUGGGACUGAGACACGGCCCAAACUCCUACGGGAGGCAGCAGUGGGGAAUAUUGGACAAUGGGCGCAAGCCUGAUCCAGCCAUGCCGCGUGAGUGAUGGAGGCCUUAGGGUUGUAAAGCUCUUUCGUCCGGGACGAUAAUGACGGUACCGGAAGAAGAAGCCCCGGCUAACUUCGUGCCAGCCGCCGCGGUAA
RNAcentral lists this ribosomal RNA (449 nucleotides) under uncultured bacterium. Its description in RNAcentral is "partial 16S ribosomal RNA". It matches the Rfam family "Bacterial small subunit ribosomal RNA", at positions 29 to 523 of the family's 1533-position model. The record is from RNAcentral.